This 405-nucleotide ribosomal RNA is filed under the name uncultured eukaryote. Its description in RNAcentral is "bacterial SSU rRNA". It matches the Rfam family "Eukaryotic small subunit ribosomal RNA", at positions 578 to 888 of the family's 1831-position model. The record is from RNAcentral.
GGUAAUUCCAGCUCUGAUAGCGUAUAUUAAAGUUGUUGCAGUUAAAAAAGCUCGUAGUUGGAUUUUAGAGUGUAUUGAUACGGUCUCUUGUGAUAAACUUGUUGUACUGUAUUAAUUACUCUUUCCUACUGGUUACUCGACUCUGUUCAUGGAGUAGUGUCGCAAGGCAUCGCUUAGUAUUUUAUUGCUUUUAGAUGUAGUAAUUGGGUAAAACUGGUUGCGAAACCUAAGGGAUCACAGUAAAGUAUUAAGUGGGGUUCCAGUUCAUUUACUUUGAGUAAAUUAAGAGUGUUCAAAGCAGCCUGUAUGGGCAUUGAAUAGAUUAGCAUGGGAUAAUAGAAUAGGAUUCUUGUCUAUUUAUUGGUUUAUAGGUUUAGAAUAAUGAUUAAUAGGGAUAGUUGGGGG